GACGAACGCUGGCGGCGCGCUUAACACAUGCAAGUCGAACGGAAAGGCCUACUUUCCCUUGUGGAUUGCGGGUACUCGAGUGGCGAACGGGUGAGUAACACGUGAGUGAUCUGCCCCCAACUUGGGUAUAAGCCUGGGAAACUGGGUCUAAUUCCCGAUAGGACUGCAGGGUGGUGCCUGUGGUGGAAAACGAUUUUCUAGUGGUUGGGGAUGAGCUCGCGGCCUAUCAGCUUGUUGGUGGGGUAAUGGCCUACCAAGGCGGCGACGGGUAGCCGGCCUGAGAGGGUGGACGGCCACAUUGGGACUGAGAUACGGCCCAGACUCCUACGGGAGGCAGCAGUGGGGAAUAUUGCACAAUGGGCGGAAGCCUGAUGCAGCGGCGCCGCGUGGGGGAUGACGGCCUUCGGGUUGUAAACUCCUUUCGACCGCGAGGAAGCCACCUGGUUGGAAGGGUGGUGACGGUAGUGGUAGAAGAAGCACCGGCUAACUACGUG
This 494-nucleotide ribosomal RNA is filed under the name uncultured bacterium. RNAcentral's name for it is "partial 16S ribosomal RNA". It matches the Rfam family "Bacterial small subunit ribosomal RNA", at positions 28 to 507 of the family's 1533-position model. The record is from RNAcentral.